AUGUACAGGAACCAGUUUAGGCCGGAUCGCUUCAACGACAACACAAACGCUGCCCGAAGGACCGGCCGUGGCUGCAUUGGUGGCACGCACCAUUGGGUGGUGUCCGGUGGCCGCGGCAGCGCGGCUCCGGGCACGCGGCUACGUUCACCGCCCAACCGGAGCGGAAGGCCUGGGACCGUGCAGCAGUACCGUCCGAGGUCUCCAGCAAGCGUGGUGCCCCAAGGGAAUGCAACUAACUACACUCCCGUUGUGAGUGCUGCUGAUGAGCACGCGGAACCAGUGAAUCCAGCAUCUUUAGGGUCAUUGGAGAGUCAGAAAUCUUCCAAUGCGCCUGAUCAAAGUGACGUUGUGAACUUAGAGUCUGCUGAAGGAGCCAGAGCAGAGGAUUCUUCGGUGCUAACAAUACACUCAGAAGGGUAUUCAGCAAGUGCAUUUACUCUUCAGUUUGGAACUUUAAGCCCAGGAGUCAUCACCAAACAAUGUAUUCCCUGCUCAACCUCGGCUCCUCCAGACCUGAAUGAGAAGAAACAUGAAAAGUGUCAGGCACACCGUGGACUAUUAUCUGACGAGCCUAAUGUCGUGUCCAUGCCAUCUGCCGGAGAGCAGCAAAAGCAAGAAACAAAAGAUAACUUGAUUAUCUGUAGUCAAACUGAUUCGAUCGACACGUAUGAUAGUGUGCCUGCUAUGGUUUCAUCUAAUUCCUGUGUACUAGCUGAUCCUGAAUUGCCUCAUACACCAGGGCUGUAUUAUGUUGCUCCAGCCGAAAAAGUUUCUACGGAUUCAUGCAAGGUGUUCCCUCGAAAUCCGUCUUUCCCAACGCAUCAGCAGUGGCAAAAACAAGACACAAGGAAAGACGCUAGCCAAUCUGAUACUAUGCACAAAUAUCCUGCUUCGAAUCCCAAGAUGACGGUGCAGAUUCCACCCCCGUAUACUCCCAGCAUGGCACCACCAUCGUUUAUGCUUCCAGUAAAUGGAAGGCCGCUGCCUGCGGCUUUUCAGCAGAAACAACCUCAAGUGCCUGUUGAAUUCAGGGGCCAGGGUGUGCCGAUGGGUAAUGUGCCUCAUGUACCACCAUUUUUUGUUCAUGGCGCUCAGGCUCGCGCAUUGCAACCGCCAGCCUUCGUUCACCAAGGACAGGGUCUGGGAUGUGCACCUCCAGCUUGUCCUCACCUUCCUCAACUGGGCAACAUGAGGAUUACGCAAGAGUUACCGCAGCAGCAAGCGAGAAGUUGUGAUGAACAAAAGAGACCUGUCAGGAUUACCCACCCAGACACACACGAAGAACUCAUGCUGGAUAGACGUGGUCAUUCCUAUAUAGAUGCUGCUUCUGGAGCGAUGCCUCUGCAUCAUAUGAACCAGCUAGCUCAGCCUGUCACGUCAUUUCCGCCCCUUCAUGAGGUGUAUUACCGGCCGAACAUGUACAAUACAGGACAUAUCUAUCUUCCUACCACCAAUGCUGUGCCUGCUUCAAACAGGCAAAUGUGCCCCAGAAUGCAGACCCCAAGGCAUAGCUUAGACCCCAAUAUUAACAACCAGGCAGUUACUUCUAUCAGUCCUCCUAUGCAAAACCCAUGGCUUGGUGCUAGUUCUAGGCUACCCACCAAUUUACGUUCUGCUUCAGAAGUCUCCAGUUCGAAAGGCUUGCUGCCAUCUGACGUAUCUUUUCCAGGUCAAGGUGCACUAAAGCCACCCACUAUCUUCCUUGCUGAAAAUAAUGAGUUAUCAUCUCAGAUAAGCACACCUACCUGCGCAGCAGAAACUCCCACGUUGUUACGGUAUUCUGUUGAAUCUGCUUUGUCAAGUCAGCAGAGAGUCCACAAGCUUGGGCUGGAAAUUUCUCCUCAGCCUGAAAAGUUGGUUUCAGAAGCAAAUCUCAAACUUCCAGCUGCAACAUCUGGUCUAAGUUGCAGUACUAGUCCUCAGUCAGUUUUAACCCAGCAAGCACAGACUGGUUCAGCUUUAGUAGAUCGUGUUACAUCAAUUGCCGGACCUCAAAAUAUCUCGGCCUACAAAUUAACCUCGGUGUGUGUAGCAAGUGGUACCUCUUCUGUUGAAGCAAAAUUGGAAUCAUCAGCAGUACCAUCAGCAACUUCAUCAUCUGGUGCAAAGGGCCAGCUAUAUCAUAUUGUGCCACAAUCUGAAAUAUUUCUGGAUACUGAGAGUAAGAAUUCCAAAUACGAUGGCAAUAGCAUUUUAGGGAAGCCACCGCUGAUGUAUACACAGGAAACUCUGCCACCAAAGUCUCCAACAACUAGUAUAUUUACUGAAAGUCUUAAGGCCAGAGUUAAUCAUGUUCCUUUGCCAGAAACUUCUGAAGCAAAUUGUUCAGCUCCUUUGCAAAUGCAAGAUAUGAUGAGAGAAGAACACACGGUAAAUGCUGAGGUGACAUGCUCCAAGUCUAAGGCAGAACAAGUUGACAUGACCAUGCAUAUGCCAGGUGCUUCUUCUGGAUCGGGCAAUGGUACUGAUGUUAGUAAAUUGGUGAAUGUUCCUACAUGUGCUGAAUCGGGCGAUUUGCAUCUCUCAUUACACAUUGGCAAUGUUUCACCAUCAGAUAAAAACAAUGGAUCUUCAUCAGAUGUUCAAAUUGGAUCAUGUUCUCUGAAUGAUAGUAUACAAGACAAUGAGAAUAUUCCCAUGACUAUGGCUAUUGCAUCCAAUUCAAGUAGCGCUCACAAAGAGAUUGAACGUGGAAGUAUUGAUUCAGUGGUGUCGAAUCAAUGCUCUGUUGCUGCUGCUUCAAUGGUGAAAACAAAGAAACCUGUCUUGGAAGCAGCCAAACCCAAAAAUACGCAUGGAAGAAGAAAAAAGAGAAAGGAAAUACUCCCCAAGUCUUCUGAUAGUGCAGAAGAGGUUGUUCAGAGUUCUUCGACAGUUGAUAAGGAGAUUUGUGCACUAGAUGCUGAAAUGGGCAGUUCGGCAGGUAGUAAUGAUAACCAGAACAAAAAUGAUAUUUUUGAUUGGGAAGGUGAUAUGGAAAUCUCUAGAGAUAAUUAUGGUUAUGGCCAGAAAAGAUACUCUAGAGAUUUUCUGUUAACAUUUGCUCAGAGCUGCGUUAAUCUGCCUGAAGGUUUUAAGAUUGGGUCUGAUAUUCAUGAUGCAAUAAUAAACGUUGGUAGUGAACAUAAUCCAAACCGGGAAAGGACAAAAGAUCGAGUUUCAACUAUUUCUCAAGCUAACCGUCAUAUGGGCAGCAACAAGCUUAAUGACAAUAACUGGAGAAAAUUGCAUCCUCCUUUUUCUGGACGCGAUCCACUUUCUGGGCGUGGAUCUUCAAGAAAUGGCUCACAAAACCAGUUGCCCAACCAGUAUAAUGGUGAGAUCCUCUCCAGAGCUAUGAAAGAAGUAGCAUGUCAGCGCAGCAUGUCACGUGGUUCUGUUGAUCAGAGGUGGCAACAUAGAACUAAUCAGGCUAUGUCAUCUCCAUCUCAGGUAUCUAUGCCAGUUAUGCACAAAGCUGAGAAAAAAUAUGAAAUUGGUAAGGUAUCUGAUGAGGAAGAGGUAAAGCAAAGGCAGUUGAAAGCAAUUCUCAAUAAGUUGACCCCACAAAAUUUUGAAAAACUUUUCGAGCAGGUCAAAGCUUUGAAUAUUGAUAACAUUAUUACACUUAGCGGUGUCAUUUCUCAGAUAUUUGACAAGGCCUUGAUGGAACCCACUUUCUGUGAGAUGUAUGCUAGUUUUUGUUUUUCAUUAGCUGGUGAACUGCCAAAUUUUGUGAAGGAUGAUGAGAAAAUCACCUUUAAGAGACUUCUUUUAAAUAAAUGCCAAGAAGAAUUUGAAAGAGGGGAGCGAGAGCAAGCUGAAGCUGAGAAGGCUGAAGAAGAGGGUGGAAUGAAACAAUCUGAAAAUGAGAGGGAAGAGAAACGACUCCGAGCACGGAGGCGCAUGCUAGGGAACAUCCGUUUAAUUGGGGAACUUUACAAAAAAAAGAUGUUGACUGAGAGAAUAAUGCAUGAAUGCAUAAAAAAGCUACUGGGUGAGUACCAACACCCAGAUGAGGAAGAUCUAGAGGCAUUAUGCAAAUUGAUGAGCACGAUAGGGGAGAUGAUUGACCAUAUCAGGGCAAAGGUGCAUAUGGAUUUUUAUUUUGACAUUAUACAUAAGCUAUCUGCAAAUUCGAAGUUAUCAUCCCGUAUAAGAUUUAUGCUGGAAGAUGUGAUUGAUCUUAGAAACAACAAGUGGAGGCAGAGAAGGAAAGUUGAAGGGCCAAAGAAGAUUGAGGAGGUUCGAAGGGAUGCUGUGAAACAGAAAAUGAGCCAAUCAACUAGGGUAGGUUCUUCCCCUAACUAUAACUCAUCUGCUAGCUCCAUUAGCUCAUCAGCAAGACCAGGGCCUCCACCAGAUUAUGGUGUUCGAGGAUCUUCUGCUUCUCGUGGAUCCUCUCAGGUUCGUGUAUAUGGAUCCCAGAAUGUUAAUCUGGAUACAAGAUACCAGACUUCAAACAGAGCCAUGUCAGUCCCACUUCAUCAAAGGCGAUCUGAUAAAUCCAUUCGACUUAGUCCUCAAGGUGACUUGGGAAGAGAAAUGUCAAUUUGUGGGAAGCCACCAGCUUCAAAUGACAUUUUGCCAGAGGUUCCUUUGAAUAGUCAUCAUGGUCAAACAUUAAAAAGCUCGAGACAAAGUUCAUUUACGGGAUCAACAAGUAACCAAACAAAUUAUCAAGCCACUGCCGGUGCUCCUAAAAUUCAGUCCUGGGGAACUGCAGAUCAUGCUUUGCCUAUACUAGUGACCACUGCCAGCCCUGUCGGGCAAAUGCAUACACCCUCCACUGCCAUGAAUGAUAUUUGUUAUGAAGCAAUAAUAUUACCGGAAGAGAUUCUUCAAGAAAAAGCAAUAUUAACUAUAAAAGAGUUCUACAGUGCCAAGGACGAGAAGGAGGUGGGCCUGUGCAUGAAGGAACUGAACGCCCCCAGCUUUUACCCUUCACUUGUAUCGCUCUGGAUCAACGACUCGUUUGAAAGGAAAGACCUUGAGAGGGAGCUCCUGGCCAAACUUUUGGUGAACUUGUGCAAGUCCCAGGGGAGCUUGCUGAGCCAGACAGUGCUACUCCAGGGGUUCCAGAAUGUUCUUUCAACCUUGGAAGAUGCGGUGACCGAUGCUCCGAAGGCGACUGAGUUCCUGGGCCGGAUAUUCGCCAAGGUCAUACUGGAGGACGUGUUGUCGCUGACGGAGAUCGGGGUGCUGCUGCAGGACGGUGGGGAGGAGCCGGCGUCGGACCAAAGGCUUGCAUCCGAGGUUCUAGGGAGCAUGCUGGAGUCGAUAAGGGUGGAGAGGGGCGACUCCGCCGUGGACGAGAUCCGUGCCAAGUCCAACCCACACCCGGAGAACCUCAGGCAGCCUGGCCUGUGCGCCUGA
RNAcentral lists this ribosomal RNA (5355 nucleotides) under Triticum aestivum (bread wheat). RNAcentral describes it as "partial small subunit ribosomal RNA". The record is from RNAcentral. Lineage: Eukaryota; Viridiplantae; Streptophyta; Magnoliopsida; Poales; Poaceae.